CCUGGCUCAUAGAGGGGGAUAACAGAGAGAAUUUUCUGCUAAUACCCGCAUAAGCACCAACCUUUCCGCAUGGCAGAGGGUGAAAAGAGAAUCGCUAUGAGAUGGACCCCGCAUCUGAUUAGCCAGUUGGCAGGGUAAGAGCCUACCAAAGCGACGAUCAGUAGCCGAUCUGAGAGGAUGAACGGCCCACAUUGGGACUGAGACACGGCCCAAACUCCUACGGGAGGCAGCAGUGGGGGAUAUUGCACAAUGGGGGGAACCCUGAUGGCACGACGCCGCGUGAGUGAAGAAGUAUUUCGGUAUGUAAAGCUCUAUCAGCAGGGAAGAUAAUGACC
Molecule: ribosomal RNA, 335 nt
Filed under: Oribacterium sp. oral taxon 078
Lineage: Bacteria; Bacillati; Bacillota; Clostridia; Lachnospirales; Lachnospiraceae
Description: bacterial SSU rRNA
Rfam family: Bacterial small subunit ribosomal RNA
Source: RNAcentral